GCCCUUUACAUCCUAUUAUAAUUGUUGUAGCAUAAAAUUGCUGGUUUUGUAGCUAUAGUAAUAAACGUGAUUUAGAAUAGAGGUUGCGGACUCGGGGGCGGUACCCGACGCUUCCACCAAAUUAAGUUGUGAUAGAAGGAUACUACAGGUUUUAUCCAUAAGCUUUCAUGGGGGCGAAAUAGGAUCGACGUGCUUAAUAAAAAAAUUAUCUUUACUCGGUAUAAUUCCGCCGGACCUUGUGUCGUUGGGUUAAAAAAAAGAAACGCAAAUGAUAAUGAACGUUUCGUAGGAACUACAGCACUAGCUGCCUAGUCCUACGCGGUUGGGGGCUUAACCGGGCAACAGAAAAAGCCCCGCU
This 358-nucleotide transfer-messenger RNA is filed under the name Rickettsia sp. It matches the Rfam family "Alphaproteobacteria transfer-messenger RNA". Rfam says of the family: Bacterial tmRNA, also known as 10Sa RNA or SsrA, is named for its dual tRNA and mRNA-like properties. Lineage: Bacteria; Pseudomonadati; Pseudomonadota; Alphaproteobacteria; Rickettsiales; Rickettsiaceae. The record is from RNAcentral.